This 460-nucleotide ribosomal RNA is filed under the name uncultured bacterium. RNAcentral describes it as "partial 16S ribosomal RNA". It matches the Rfam family "Bacterial small subunit ribosomal RNA", at positions 338 to 795 of the family's 1533-position model. The record is from RNAcentral.
CCUACGGGUGUCUGCAGUGAGGAAUAUUUGUCAAUUGACGCAAGUCUGAACCAGCCAUGCCGCGUGCAGGAAGACGGCUCUAUGAGUUGUAAACUGCUUUUGUACGCGGGUAAAUCCCGAUACGUGUAUCGGGUUGAAAGUAUCUUACGAAUAAGGAUCGGCUAACUCCGUGCCAGCAGCCGCGGUACUACCGAGGAUUCAAGCGUUAUCCGGAUUUUUUGGGUUUACAGGGUUCGUAGGCGGUUCGAUAAGUUAGAGGUGAAAUCCCUGGGCUAAACGCCGGCACUGCAUCUGAUACUGUCGGGCUAGAGUUGAGGUGCGGUAGGAGGAAUGUAUGGUGGAGCGGUGAAAUGCAUAGAGAUCAUACAGAACACCGAGUGCGAAGGCAGCUUACCAAACUACGACUGACGUUGAGGCACGAAAGCGUGGGGAGCAAACAGGAUUAGAUACCCUGGUAGUC